CAGAAAAUAGUUUAAUAAAAAUAUUAAUUUUGGAGAUUAAUGAUAAGAGCUUUCUUUUUUCUGA
This 64-nucleotide transfer RNA is filed under the name Tillus nitidus. RNAcentral describes it as "tRNA-Pro". The record is from RNAcentral. Lineage: Eukaryota; Metazoa; Arthropoda; Insecta; Coleoptera; Cleridae.